This 1359-nucleotide ribosomal RNA is filed under the name uncultured bacterium. RNAcentral describes it as "bacterial SSU rRNA". It matches the Rfam family "Bacterial small subunit ribosomal RNA", at positions 28 to 1381 of the family's 1533-position model. The record is from RNAcentral.
GAUGAACGCUAGCUACAGGCUUAACACAUGCAAGUCGAGGGGCAGCAUUUUAGUUUGCUUGCAAACUAAAGAUGGCGACCGGCGCACGGGUGAGUAACACGUAUCCAACCUGCCGAUAACUCGGGGAUAGCCUUUCGAAAGAAAGAUUAAUAUCCGAUGGUAUAUUAAAACCGCAUGGUUUUACUAUUAAAGAAUUUCGGUUAUCGAUGGGGAUGCGUUCCAUUAGUUUGUUGGCGGGGUAACGGCCCACCAAGACUACGAUGGAUAGGGGUUCUGAGAGGAAGGUCCCCCACAUUGGAACUGAGACACGGUCCAAACUCCUACGGGAGGCAGCAGUGAGGAAUAUUGGUCAAUGGACGAGAGUCUGAACCAGCCAAGUAGCGUGAAGGAUGACUGCCCUAUGGGUUGUAAACUUCUUUUAUAUGGGAAUAAAGUAUUCCACGUGUGGGAUUUUGUAUGUACCAUAUGAAUAAGGAUCGGCUAACUCCGUGCCAGCAGCCGCGGUAAUACGGAGGAUCCGAGCGUUAUCCGGAUUUAUUGGGUUUAAAGGGAGCGUAGGUGGAUUGUUAAGUCAGUUGUGAAAGUUUGCGGCUCAACCGUAAAAUUGCAGUUGAAACUGGCAGUCUUGAGUACAGUAGAGGUGGGCGGAAUUCGUGGUGUAGCGGUGAAAUGCUUAGAAAUCACGAAGAACUCCGAUUGCGAAGGCAGCUCACUAGACUGCAACUGACACUGAUGCUCGAAAGUGUGGGUAUCAAACAGGAUUAGAUACCCUGGUAGUCCACACAGUAAACGAUGAAUACUCGCUGUUUGCGAUAUACAGUAAGCGGCCAAGCGAAAGCAUUAAGUAUUCCACCUGGGGAGUACGCCGGCAACGGUGAAACUCAAAGGAAUUGACGGGGGCCCGCACAAGCGGAGGAACAUGUGGUUUAAUUCGAUGAUACGCGAGGAACCUUACCCGGGCUUAAAUUGCAUUUGAAUAAUCUGGAAACAGGUUAGCCGCAAGGCAAAUGUGAAGGUGCUGCAUGGUUGUCGUCAGCUCGUGCCGUGAGGUGUCGGCUUAAGUGCCAUAACGAGCGCAACCCUUAUCUUUAGUUACUAACAGGUCAUGCUGAGGACUCUAGAGAGACUGCCGUCGUAAGAUGUGAGGAAGGUGGGGAUGACGUCAAAUCAGCACGGCCCUUACGUCCGGGGCUACACACGUGUUACAAUGGGGGGUACAGAAGGCAGCUACCUGGUGACAGGAUGCUAAUCCCAAAAACCUCUCUCAGUUCGGAUCGAAGUCUGCAACCCGACUUCGUGAAGCUGGAUUCGCUAGUAAUCGCGCAUCAGCCAUGGCGCGGUGAAUACGUUCCCGGGCCU